GACCCUGCCUUCGGGCGGGGGCUCCGGGUGGACACUUCAAACUCUUGCGUAACUUUGCAGUCUGAGUAAACUUAAUUAAUAAAUUAAAACUUUUAACAACGGAUCUCUUGGUUCUGGCAUCGAUGAAGAACGCAGCGAAAUGCGAUAAGUAAUGUGAAUUGCAGAAUUCAGUGAAUCAUCGAAUCUUUGAACGCACAUUGCGCCCCCUGGUAUUCCGGGGGGCAUGCCUGUUCGAGCGUCAUUUCACCACUCAAGCCUCGCUUGGUAUUGGGCAACGCGGUCCGCCGCGUGCCUCAAAUCGACCGGCUGGGUCUUCUGUCCCCCAAGCGUUGUGGAAACUAUUCGCUAAAGGGUGUUCGGGAGGCUACGCCGUAAAACAACCCCAUUUCUAAGGUUGACCUCGGAUCAGGUAGGGAUACCCGCUGAACUUAAGCAUA
This 437-nucleotide ribosomal RNA is filed under the name Davidiella sp. FL-2010a. RNAcentral describes it as "eukaryotic LSU rRNA". The stretch from base 88 to 241 matches the Rfam family "5.8S ribosomal RNA". Lineage: Eukaryota; Fungi; Ascomycota; Dothideomycetes; Cladosporiales; Cladosporiaceae. The record is from RNAcentral.